Molecule: ribosomal RNA, 355 nt
Filed under: Staphylococcus aureus
Lineage: Bacteria; Bacillati; Bacillota; Bacilli; Caryophanales; Staphylococcaceae
Description: bacterial SSU rRNA
Rfam family: Bacterial small subunit ribosomal RNA
Source: RNAcentral
UUUUAUGGAGAGUUUGAUCCUGGCUCAGGAUGAACGCUGGCGGCGUGCCUAAUACAUGCAAGUCGAGCGAACGGACGAGAAGCUUGCUUCUCUGAUGUUAGCGGCGGACGGGUGAGUAACACGUGGAUAACCUACCUAUAAGACUGGGAUAACUUCGGGAAACCGGAGCUAAUACCGGAUAAUAUUUUGAACCGCAUGGUUCAAAAGUGAAAGACGGUCUUGCUGUCACYUAUAGAUGGAUCCGCGCUGCAUUAGCUAGUUGGUAAGGUAACGGCUUACCAAGGCAACGAUGCAUAGCCGACCUGAGAGGGUGAUCGGCCACACUGGAACUGAGACACGGUCCAGACUCCUACGG